Non-coding RNA from Parelaphostrongylus tenuis, 71 nucleotides. The record is from the annotation of a GenBank genome assembly. Lineage: Eukaryota; Metazoa; Nematoda; Chromadorea; Rhabditida; Metastrongylidae.
ACCUCGGUGGUGGAGUAGUAGCGCGCGUCCCUGGCAUGGUUAGAACACGGGUUCGACUCCCGUCUGAGGUC